RNAcentral lists this ribosomal RNA (50 nucleotides) under Xerocomellus sp. 'atropurpureus'. RNAcentral's name for it is "partial 28S ribosomal RNA". The record is from RNAcentral. RNAcentral also lists the same sequence under 1 other name. Lineage: Eukaryota; Fungi; Basidiomycota; Agaricomycetes; Boletales; Boletaceae.
ACUUGACCUCAAAUCAGGUAGGACUACCCGCUGAACUUAAGCAUAUCAUA